This 710-nucleotide long non-coding RNA is filed under the name Mus musculus (house mouse). RNAcentral describes it as "predicted gene, 37915". Lineage: Eukaryota; Metazoa; Chordata; Mammalia; Rodentia; Muridae. The record is from RNAcentral.
AUUCUUGGGUGUGGGACAGCCAGGAGAUGGCUGACCUGCCAGGUUAUACUGUUAAAAGGACUCUGCAUCCUCAAUGCCAGCGGCCUCCUACCAAUCAGCAGUAACUCCUCAGUGUCUCUUCACAGCAAUAAAACCCUAACUAAGAAAUCUGCUAUGCGGUGCUAUGGGCAAGGGAAAGAUGCCCUCCCCCAUCCAUUGCCCUCGCCUCCUGCAGUGGGUGGGAGAGCUGGCCCUGCCCCUCACCUGCAGCAGCAUUCAGAAGAGUGGACCCUGCACCUUAUCUGGCCAGCACCACAGGGGAUGCAGAAACACAUCAAGCCUUCUAGCCGGAUGACAAAGCUAGUUGGAGAAUGUCGGAGUCACCACCUGCGGCUUCAUCAGCCUCUCUGCUCUUCUUUCUCUUCCUACAGUUUAGAGCAUCCCUAACUUGAAUGUUAGGGAGAUUUAACAUUUUUAAAAGAUGUGUUAUUAUUUUAUGUGUGAUAAGAUAAAAUGAAAUCAAAUAAUAUAAAAUAUAGGACAUUGUAUUCCCUGGAGACGGAGCCACAGGCAGUUGUGAGCUGUGCUGUGAUGCUAAGAACUGAACCUGGGUCCUCUGAAAGAGCAGAGAGCAGAGCGUUCUCAACUGCUGAGCCCUCUCUUCAGUACAAGCCAAUUUAGUGUCUUAAAAGCCUGAAAUAAAGAUAAAUGAACAAGUAAUUGUUUACCCA